AGGUUAAGCUGAAGAGGCGGAGCCGCAGCGAAAGCGAGUCUGAAUAGGGCGUUUAGUACGUGGUCGUAGACCCGAAACCAGGUGAUCUACCCAUGUCCAGGGUGAAGUUCAGGUAACACUGAAUGGAGGCCCGAACCCACGCACGUUGAAAAGUGCGGGGAUGAGGUGUGGGUAGCGGAGAAAUUCCAAUCGAACCUGGAGAUAGCUGGUUCUCCCCGAAAUAGCUUUAGGGCUAGCCUUAAGUGUAAGAGUCUUGGAGGUAGAGCACUGAUUGGACUAGGGGUCCUCAUCGGAUUACCGAAUUCAGUCAAACUCCGAAUGCCAAUGACUUAUCCUUAGGAGUCAGACUGCGAGUGAUAAGAUCCGUAGUCAAAAGGGAAACAGCCCAGACCGCCAGCUAAGGUCCCAAAGUGUGUAUUAAGUGGAAAAGGAUGUGGAGUUGCUUAGACAACUAGGAUGUUGGCUUAGAAGCAGCCACCAUUUAAAGAGUGCGUAAUAGCUCACUAGUCGAGUGACUCUGCGCCGAAAAUGUACCGGGGCUAAAUACACCACCGAAGCUGCGGAUUGAUACCAAUGGUAUCAGUGGUAGGGGAGCGUUCUAAGGACAGUGAAGUCAGACCGGAAGGACUGGUGGAGUGCUUAGAAGUGAGAAUGCCGGUAUGAGUAGCGAAAGACGGGUGAGAAUCCCGUCCACCGAAUGCCUAAGGUUUCCUGAGGAAGGCUCGUCCGCUCAGGGUUAGUCAGGACCUAAGCCGAGGCCGACAGGCGUAGGCGAUGGACAACAGGUUGAUAUUCCUGUACCACCUCUUUAUCGUUUGAGCAAUGGAGGGACGCAGAAGGAUAGAAGAAGCGUGCGAUUGGUUGUGCACGUCCAAGCAGUUAGGCUGAUAAGUAGGCAAAUCCGCUUAUCGUGAAGGCUGAGCUGUGAUGGGGAAGCUCCUUAUGGAGCGAAGUCUUUGAUUCCCCGCUGCCAAGAAAAGCUUCUAGCGAGAUAAAAGGUGCCUGUACCGCAAACCGACACAGGUAGGCGAGGAGAGAAUCCUAAGGUGUGCGAGAGAACUCUGGUUAAGGAACUCGGCAAAAUGACCCCGUAACUUCGGGAGAAGGGGUGCUUUCUUAACGGAAAGCCGCAGUGAAUAGGCCCAAGCGACUGUUUAGCAAAAACACAGCUCUCUGCGAAGCCGUAAGGCGAAGUAUAGGGGGUGACACCUGCCCGGUGCUGGAAGGUUAAGGAGAGGGGUUAGCGUAAGCGAAGCUCUGAACUGAAGCCCCAGUAAACGGCGGCCGUAACUAUAACGGUCCUAAGGUAGCGAAAUUCCUUGUCGGGUAAGUUCCGACCCGCACGAAAGGUGUAACGAUUUGGGCACUGUCUCAACCAGAGACUCGGUGAAAUUAUAGUACCUGUGAAGAUGCAGGUUACCCGCGACAGGACGGAAAGACCCCGUGGAGCUUUACUGUAGCCUGAUAUUGAAUUUUGGUACAGUUUGUACAGGAUAGGCGGGAGCCUUUGAAACCGGAGCGCUAGCUUCGGUGGAGGCGCUGGUGGGAUACCGCCCUGACUGUAUUGAAAUUCUAACCUACGGGUCUUAUCGACCCGGGAGACAGUGUCAGGUGGGCAGUUUGACUGGGGCGGUCGCCUCCUAAAGUGUAACGGAGGCGCCCAAAGGUUCCCUCAGAAUGGUUGGAAAUCAUUCGUAGAGUGCAAAGGCAUAAGGGAGCUUGACUGCGAGACCUACAAGUCGAGCAGGGACGAAAGUCGGGCUUAGUGAUCCGGUGGUUCCGCAUGGAAGGGCCAUCGCUCAACGGAUAAAAGCUACCCCGGGGAUAACAGGCUUAUCUCCCCCAAGAGUCCACAUCGACGGGGAGGUUUGGCACCUCGAUGUCGGCUCAUCGCAUCCUGGGGCUGUAGUCGGUCCCAAGGGUUGGGCUGUUCGCCCAUUAAAGCGGUACGCGAGCUGGGUUCAGAACGUCGUGAGACAGUUCGGUCCCUAUCCGUCGUGGGCGUAGGAAAUUUGAGAGGAGCUGUCCUUAGUACGAGAGGACCGGGAUGGACGCACCGCUGGUGUACCAGUUGUUCUGCCAAGGGCAUAGCUGGGUAGCUAUGUGCGGAAGGGAUAAGUGCUGAAAGCAUCUAAGCAUGAAGCCCCCCUCAAGAUGAGAUUUCCCAUAGCGUAAGCUAGUAAGAUCCCUGAAAGAUGAUCAGGUUGAUAGGUUCGAGGUGGAAGCAUGGUGACAUGUGGAGCUGACGAAUACUAAUAGAUCG
This 2263-nucleotide ribosomal RNA is filed under the name Bacillus anthracis (anthrax bacterium). RNAcentral's name for it is "partial 23S ribosomal RNA". It matches the Rfam family "Bacterial large subunit ribosomal RNA", at positions 643 to 2911 of the family's 2925-position model. Lineage: Bacteria; Bacillati; Bacillota; Bacilli; Caryophanales; Bacillaceae. The record is from RNAcentral.